This 212-nucleotide ribosomal RNA is filed under the name uncultured bacterium. RNAcentral describes it as "partial 16S ribosomal RNA". It matches the Rfam family "Bacterial small subunit ribosomal RNA", at positions 28 to 241 of the family's 1533-position model. The record is from RNAcentral.
GACGAACGCUGGCGGCGUGCUUAACACAUGCAAGUCGAGCGGUAAGGCCCUUUCGGGGGUACACGAGCGGCGAACGGGUGAGUAACACGUGGGUGACCUGCCCUUAGCUCUGGGAUAAGCCUGGGAAACUGGGUCUAAUACCGGGUAUGACUCCAUAACGCAUGUUGUGGGGUGGAAAGCCUUGUGCGGCUAGGGAUGGGCCCGCGGCCUAU